AUACGGAGGGUGCGAGCGUUAAUCGGAAUUACUGGGCGUAAAGCGUACGUAGGUGGCUUGAUUAGUCGGAUGUGAAAGCCCUGGGCUCAACCUGGGAACUGCAUUCGAUACUGUCAGGCUAGAGUAUAGUAGAGGGAAGUGGAAUUCCGGGUGUAGCGGUGAAAUGCGUAGAUAUACGGAGGAACACCAGUGGCGAAGGCGGCUUCCUGGACUAAUACUGACACUGAGGUACGAAAGCGUGGGGAGCAAACAGAAUUAGAAACCCCAGUAGUCC
RNAcentral lists this ribosomal RNA (274 nucleotides) under uncultured bacterium. RNAcentral describes it as "partial 16S ribosomal RNA". It matches the Rfam family "Bacterial small subunit ribosomal RNA", at positions 523 to 796 of the family's 1533-position model. The record is from RNAcentral.